RNAcentral lists this transfer RNA (70 nucleotides) under Spinacia oleracea (spinach). It matches the Rfam family "tRNA". Rfam says of the family: Transfer RNA (tRNA) molecules are approximately 80 nucleotides in length. Their secondary structure includes four short double-helical elements and three loops (D, anti-codon, and T loops). Lineage: Eukaryota; Viridiplantae; Streptophyta; Magnoliopsida; Caryophyllales; Amaranthaceae. The record is from Rfam by way of RNAcentral.
AGCCUAUUAGCUCAAAUGGUAGAGCAAUGUGCCACGCACAUGUAUGUAGGUUCGAGUCCUACAUAGGCAA